This 72-nucleotide transfer RNA is filed under the name Rhizobium leguminosarum bv. viciae. RNAcentral describes it as "tRNA-Gln". Lineage: Bacteria; Pseudomonadati; Pseudomonadota; Alphaproteobacteria; Hyphomicrobiales; Rhizobiaceae. The record is from RNAcentral.
CGGGGCGUGGGUCUGUAUGGCAACGGUUUUUGGUACCGCCAUCCCCUGGUUCGAAUCCAGGCACCCCAGCCA